Molecule: ribosomal RNA, 254 nt
Filed under: uncultured bacterium
Lineage: Bacteria
Description: partial 16S ribosomal RNA
Rfam family: Bacterial small subunit ribosomal RNA
Source: RNAcentral
UACGUAGGUGACAAGCGUUGUCCGGAUUUACUGGGCGUAAAGAGCGCGCAGGCGGUCGUUCAAGUCGAGUGUGAAAGCCCCCCGGCUCAACUGGGGAGGGUCAUUCGAUACUGAUCGACUCGAAGGCAGGAGAGGGAAGUGGAAUUCCCGGUGUAGUGGUGAAAUGCGUAGAUAUCGGGAGGAACACCAGUGGCGAAGGCGACUUCCUGGCCUGUUCUUGACGCUGAGGCGCGAAAGCUAGGGGAGCAAACGGG